CCUACGGGAGGCAGCAGUGGGGAAUUGUUCACAAUGGGCGCAAGCCUGAUGACGCAACGCCGCGUGGGGGAUGAAGGUCUUCGGAUCGUAAACCCCUGUCGAAUGGGACGAAAGACUCGCGAGUUAAUACUUUGCGAGAGUGACGGUACCGUUAAAGGAAGCCGCGGCUAACUCUGUGCCAGCAGCCGCGGUAAUACAGAGGUGGCAAGCGUUGUUCGGAAUUACUGGGCGUAAAGGGCGCGUAGGCGGCCUUCUAAGUCAGACGUGAAAUCCCCCGGCUUAACCUGGGAACUGCGUCUGAUACUGGGAGGCUUGAGUAUGGGAGAGGGAUGUAGAAUUCCAGGUGUAGCGGUGAAAUGCGUAGAUAUCUGGAGGAAUACCGGUGGCGAAGGCGGCAUCCUGGACCAUAACUGACGCUGAGGCGCGAAAGCUAGGGGAGCAAACGGGAUUAGAUACCCCGGUAGUCCUAGCCCUAAACGAUGAAUACUUGGUGUGGCGGGUAUCGAUCCCUGCCGUGCCGAAGCUAACGCAUUAAGUAUUCCGCCUGGGGAGUACGGUCGCAGGCUGAAACUUAAANGAAUUGACGG
This 587-nucleotide ribosomal RNA is filed under the name uncultured bacterium. RNAcentral's name for it is "bacterial SSU rRNA". It matches the Rfam family "Bacterial small subunit ribosomal RNA", at positions 338 to 916 of the family's 1533-position model. The record is from RNAcentral.